UUGCUAUAUAUAACUUGCUUUUACUUAUAUGUUUAUAAAAAAUUCAGUCUGUGGCCUUCAAAAGCAACCCUGCUCAGUUUUUCUCUUUAGAACUUUUUCUUGGCUUCUGCCAAGAAAAUUGGAAUAUUGCAAGAUAUUCCAAAUUCUUGCUUUGUUUUUCUACCUCAAUACCAAUUGUUGCCUAAAAGAUGAAUGCUCUAUGAUGUCAGAGGCAACCUCAGUUCAUUUAUCUUGGAGACAGGACCAAAGUUCUGACUUAGCUGUCUCAGGAAACAAAGGUCGUUUUCUCUCUGUAUCCCAGGACAUGGUCCUUCUCUCAGGAGAGAACACUAUUUUGAAAAGGGGCUAACUCUAUAGCCUGCUGAACCUCCCUCUAAAGAGGAAACAUAACUAAAUCAACCUUGUGAUAGUUCAAAUUGGAUUAUCCAAUUCUGAUCUUCAGGGUCUUGAAAUACCCUGAUUCUACUUGGUCAUCCCAUUUGAUACCAACUCUGCAACUGUGAAAGAGGGAAAUUUUUGAUAGGGAAAAUGAGAAGAGGAGAAAAAGAGCAUGAAAAAGAAAUCAUGAUCCAGUUCCCAUCAAAAGACCUUCCAGGAAAGAUGAAAAGAAGACUGAUUACAGCUGCUUGGGAAAACCAGACAGAACCAUUGUGGGAAAAAAUAGAGCAUCAUUUGAAUUCUAAGCCAAUGUCCCACCUCAACCAACCCAUAGGCAGGACAUGUCUCAAACAACCACUCAUAGUAACACAGUUUCCAAACUCUCAAAAAACUGUACUAAUGCCAUCUCUUAAUCCAAAGGAGAACUCAAAAAAAUUGACCUGCCCUGGCAAGUCGUAUACUAUGUCAGACUUGCCCUUAAAACGUUGCCCUAGUAACCAGUCCCAUAUGGAGCCUUUCUCAGGACCUGGGCACUACCAGAACAUUUUAGUUGACCACAAUCACCAAACAGCUGAGGCCCAACAGACUCAGAUCCCAUCUGUACGUGGACACAGAGGUAAAGUUAAACAUAAAGUCCCCAUGAAGAAAGACUUCAAAGUCUUACCUGAGCACAAUGUGCCAAAGGGGACAACUCUAAAUGCUCUUGUAAGAAGUUUAAACUUUGCCUCCAAAUCUAAAAUUAUCUCAGCAUGUUUUUCUGAGUCUUUACCUAAAGCUAAUGGUUUAAAACCAUUAAACCAUGACUGGACUAAGGAAAGAGAAAUGAGAAAAUCUCUUUCUGGGCCCCAAAUUCCCACUUUUUCUCUUUGUAAUAAUGUUACCGAUGCAAGAAAUGCCCAUCCUUCCUACCCCACACAGUGGCCUACUCCCACUACAGAUAAACCACCACAUGAUAUAGACGAAUUAAUAUCAGCCCUGGGAUUAGAAACACCAAAAUUUGGACCAUGGCAACAUGCAGAAAAGGAGAAUUUUUCAGAUUUCCAACAAUGGGCCAAGUGCUCUUCUACAUGCCUGAAGUACCGUUGCAUGUACUGUAUGCCAAUGGAUACGUUUGCAUCAUGACAAUCCCUCAGUCUAACCAGAGCUCUACCAAGCUAAAGUCAGCAAAUUGAGAAUAUGUAUAAGCCAGAGAUAAAGCGUCAGUCCACAAUGUUAGCCUGUAUACAGGUUUAUACAAUUGGACCGAGAUGUUCCACUGACCUCAUCUACCUGAGUCAUCAUGAACACCCGUGUAUCUCUUCAUUGUUUCAUCUCCUAAAUAGGCUAUCAUCAAACAUAGCUGAAACUAUGCAGCACCCUGAGAACAUCAGGCCACUUUGUAAAAGUGCUUGAGCACUCACGUGUGCAAAACUGCAGACAGGCAGGGAAACUGAAGAAACGCUGUGCCCUGAGCACACCAGGCCUUUCUCUAAUGAAACCUGACCACCACCUUUUGGACAUGCAAAAACCAGACUCUGACAAGCAAGCUUAAGGACCUCCAAGCAUCUCUCCAAUGAACCUAGACCAUCUGAACAUUUCACAACUGGACUGAAAUCAGCAUGUCAGGAGGCAAUCCCAGGCUACCUUCUCACUAAUACUGACUACUAUUUAAAUGUGUCCUCUGUCCCACACAGAAUUCAUUUUUAAUAAGUCUCAUUCACUGACCACAAAUAUGCCCCCGAACCCCUUUUAUUGAGUUUGAUAUUACUCCUCUCUAACAUUCCCAUCUCCUUGGCAGGUCUCAGGGUGGCUGAUUGUUUUUAAUUUUUAUAUGUGACAAAAAUAUUUUAGAGCCCAUGAGCGUGAUAUAUCUGUGAAUCUAUUAUACAUAGAUUGUAUAUAGUUCUAUUUUAUGUGUAUAUAUAUCUACCAUUUAUAAUAGCUUGCUUUUACUUUUAAGUAUAUAAAGGAUUUAAUCUGUAACUUUUAAAAGCAAUCCUGCUUGUCUUUUUUCUCCCUAAAUUUUCUUCUCCUGUACAUUUCACAAAAUAUUCUAAAGACUGUUUUUUUUUCUUUUUUCAUAUUACUAUUUUUAACUCCUUGUUCUACCCAACUUAGUACCUUCCCUCUACCCCAAACCUAGAGCAUUGGGGGAGAAGGCAGAAUAAAUACAAUCAUUAUUACA
RNAcentral lists this long non-coding RNA (2542 nucleotides) under Monodelphis domestica (gray short-tailed opossum). RNAcentral's name for it is "lncRNA (ENSMODG00000032345.2)". The record is from RNAcentral. Lineage: Eukaryota; Metazoa; Chordata; Mammalia; Didelphimorphia; Didelphidae.